This 105-nucleotide unclassified non-coding RNA is filed under the name fungal sp. RNAcentral's name for it is "partial internal transcribed spacer region". The record is from RNAcentral. Lineage: Eukaryota; Fungi.
CCUCCUCGGUGCGCUGGGAAGAAUCAAUGCGCUACUUGCUUGCGCAAGGGUUCACGCGUUUCAUCGAACUGGGGCCCGGCGCCGCGCUGACCGGCUUCAUGAAAC